Molecule: long non-coding RNA, 1277 nt
Organism: Oncorhynchus tshawytscha (Chinook salmon)
Lineage: Eukaryota; Metazoa; Chordata; Actinopteri; Salmoniformes; Salmonidae
Source: Ensembl
GACAAAUAUAGUUGGCACUAGUUGCUAUAACUCCAGUGCUUGAUCCUAAAUACAUUAGUUUGGAUUACAUGUUUUAUAAAGUUAAAUAAAGGUGAAAUAAGAAAAUAAACAUGGAUAUGAUGAAUGUAAAUGAAUUAGUUGGACGACAUCAAACAAAUCUGACGGAAGAUAUUUCAUACAGAAAGCAACAUUUAUUCAGACAUGCUUUAUGAAGCCACAUGUUAAACCGUGUCAAAAUGUCUACGGGCGUAUAAACCUUAUCAGUCCAAUUAUUAGUAAGAGCAUUUGUACAAUGACAUAUAAUACAUAACAAUAUUACAAAGCUCAACAUACAUUUGCAACUCAGCUACAGCUAUAAGCCAGUUUGAGGGGAUAAAUCUAUUGUUUUUCUACAAUGACGGACCAACCAACCACAAGGAGUGUGUGACAAGAUUAAUAACUUAAAUAUUAAGUAGAAAAUGUGUUAUGUGCAAUUUGAUAUUCAAAAUAACAAUAGAUGAAUUAACAUAGUAUCUACCGUUAGACCUAAUAGUACAACUUUAAACUUUAAAAAUAUAAAACUAAUCAUGUUUACAUAUUUUACUUCCUAAAGUCUUGGACAAGGCAUUAUCAUCCUUGCUGUGCAUUUGUAAAGGACAAAUGUUAGGUAGGAACCACAUUUGAGUUCACAUCAAAAUGGAUCAGAUCCUUCUGUUUCAAUUGGUCAAUACCCAAUACCCUCAAAUCUAUGAAGCAGACCAAGGUUAAACCUAAUGCUAAGAUAAAAUAAGAAAAUACUUGACAAAACAAGAUUUCAUAGCCUUAAAAGCCCCUUUAAAACAAAAUGGAUGCCACGAACGGUCUAAUACCACAGUCCUUCAAAACCACUUAGCUUCUAAGUGUUAGUCUGUUUUAGCACAUAGCAACACCCAGGACUGCAUUUCAGUGUGAUACAAAUUAUCUGGUCUCUGUCUAAAGAGAGAUCUAAAGAAGAGAGUAGAUCUGUCAGGAAGUGGCUAGUUCCUGUGUGCCCUAUUUAAAAGCCAAGUGAACGGGGCUGCUUUCAAGAGCACAGGGGCUAGGUGAGAGUAGAUACAACACAACAUUACUGGGGCUAGGUGAGAGUAGAUACAGCACAACAUUACUGGGGCUAGGUGAGAGUAGAUACAACACAACAUUACUGGGGCUAGGUGAGAGUAGAUACAACACAACAUUACUGGGGCUAGGUGAGAGUAGAUACAACACAACAUUACUGGGGCUAGGUGAGAGUAGAUACAACACAACAUUACUGGGGCUAG